UUCGCAAUGCCCGAAAGGGUGACGAAGCGACGCCGCGUGGGUGAGGAAGGCCUUCGGGUUGUAAAGCCCUGUCAGGAGUUAAGAAAUGUAAGUGUGCUAAUAUCGCAUUUACUUGACGAAGGCUCCAAAGGAAGUCACGGCUAACUCUGUGCCAGCAGCCGCGGUAAUACAGAGGUGGCAAGCGUUGUUCGGAAUUAUUGGGCGUAAAGAGCACGUAGGUGGGUUUGUAAGUCAGAUGUGAAAGCCUCCUGUUCAACGGGAGAAUUGCAUCUGAAACUACUGAUCUUGAGUAUAGGAGGGGAGAAUGGAACUUCUGGUGGAGCGGUGAAAUGCGUAGAUAUCAGAAGGAACGCCGGCGGCGAAAGCGAUUCUCUGGCCUAUUACUGACACUCAGUGUGCGAAAGCUAGGGGAGCAAACGGGAUUAGAUACCCCGGUAGUCCCAGCCGUAAACGAUGGGCACUAAGUAGAGGGGUUUU
RNAcentral lists this ribosomal RNA (477 nucleotides) under uncultured anaerobic ammonium-oxidizing bacterium. Its description in RNAcentral is "bacterial SSU rRNA". It matches the Rfam family "Bacterial small subunit ribosomal RNA", at positions 365 to 832 of the family's 1533-position model. The record is from RNAcentral.